RNAcentral lists this unclassified non-coding RNA (240 nucleotides) under soil metagenome. RNAcentral's name for it is "partial contains 5.8S ribosomal RNA, internal transcribed spacer 2, and large subunit ribosomal RNA". The record is from RNAcentral.
AACCAUUCUCACCUGCGGCUAGACCUGCGGAAGGAUCAUUAUAGAGUUUUAAACUCCAAACCCCUGUGGACUUACCUAUCGUUGCCUCGGCAGGUCCGCGGGACGCGCCACACCGGCGCGGCCCGCGUUAAACACGCCUGCCAGCGGGCCUACAACGAAACUCUUGUUUUUUUAUACUGAAAUUCUGAAUCUUUGACUAAAUAAGUUAAAACUUUCAGCAAUGGAUCUCAGAUCGGAAGA